GCUUGUGCUACUCCUACGUUGUACAUAGUACAAACAUACUCAGUUUACCUGUACCUAUUUAUUUUAUACUAGAAUUAGAAGUAAGUUAUGCCAGUCAUCAUCCCAGAGUGUGCAUUUAGAUGCCAGGUAAAGCAUGUCACUGUGCCUACCAUGUCAAUCACACUACUGUGUGAAUGUUGGUUUUCUAACAAAUGUGCUUUUCCUUUUCCCCAUGCCUUCACCGGGCCUCUUUUAACUGCCUUGCGCCUUGUAAACUGUUCCCUUCUCGCUCCGGCUUGUACUGGGAGGAUUAUUUUGUGCAUGUGGCAUUCCUUUCUUCAUAUUGUACCCUGCAUGAUCCACAGACAAACGGAAGAAAAGAUCUACACUACACUGAUGGAUCAAAUAUUUAUUAAAAAAGAAUCGAAGGUGUUGUUGGCUGUAAGGAUGGACACUGAUUCCUGUUGCACUGUAAAAGACUGAGCUGACUGUGUGUGCAUACAUGGCACUCAGGUCCUUUUACUGUGCAUGAAGAAUAAACAUGGUCUCCCAUUCCAACAUGCUGCCUUGUCAGGAUAGGUUUUGUUUUCUUUAAAUCCUGUGUAAAUGUUUUCUAUACACUAUACAUAUGUAUAAUAUAGCUUCCUCUGCAUGCCUUCUGUUGUAAGUAGCCAAGCAAUCUGAUCUAUAUUUCUAUAGUAAUUUGCUGUGUACAUUGGUGCUCAGUGGUAUGACAUGAUAAUUAAUCUGAUUUUACAAAUAAAAAUCAUUGGUUUGAUUUAAUCAACACUAUACAGAUUUGAAAUGUUCUUUCUGAUAGUGAUACUAAAUAAACACAUUUUCAAAAAUA
Long non-coding RNA from Trichomycterus rosablanca, 829 nucleotides. RefSeq lists it as uncharacterized. NCBI's taxonomy places the organism in Eukaryota, Metazoa, Chordata, Actinopteri, Siluriformes, Trichomycteridae. The transcript is spliced from 2 exons. The record is from RefSeq and is a predicted model, not a curated record.